UACGGAGGGUGCGAGCGUUGUCCGGAAUCACUGGGCGUAAAGGGCGCGUAGGCGGCGCGGGUAGUCAUCGGUGAAAGUUCAGGGCUCAACUCUGAAUCGGCCGGUGAUACUCCCGUGCUCGAGCACUGUAGAGGCAGGUGGAAUUCCCGGUGUAGCGGUGAAAUGCGCAGAUAUCGGGAAGAACACCCGUGGCGAAGGCGGCUCUCUGGGACGGUACUGACGCUGAGACGCGAAAGCGUGGGGAGCGAACAGG
Molecule: ribosomal RNA, 253 nt
Filed under: uncultured bacterium
Lineage: Bacteria
Description: partial 16S ribosomal RNA
Rfam family: Bacterial small subunit ribosomal RNA
Source: RNAcentral